Hermetia illucens (black soldier fly) is the source of this 513-nucleotide long non-coding RNA. RefSeq lists it as uncharacterized. The record is from RefSeq and is a predicted model, not a curated record. The transcript is spliced from 2 exons. Lineage: Eukaryota; Metazoa; Arthropoda; Insecta; Diptera; Stratiomyidae.
UAUAAAAUAAAUUAAUCAUUGAGGAAAUGUUUCUCUUCGUGUUCGAAUGUAUUGUUCAUGUUGGCCCGGCUGUUAUUUGUAAAUGUAUUGUAUUAUAUUUCUGUCAUCGGUAUCUAUGUCGGAGCGGAGAAACUAUUUCAUAGUAAACUGGUUCACAGAUAACCAACUAGUGAGAUAAUCUGAAUCGAGGCAAUGACCCGCUGGAUCAAAAUAUUCUUUUCCCUAAAGUAUUUUUUCAGAGUUCUGGUACCACUUCUCCCAGGAAGCAUGAGAAGUGAAUGGAUUGAGGGAAGGGCUUAUGCAUCCAUUGAAUUCUUAGUCACAUUUGCAAGGUCUCCUUAACUACACAGCCAGUGGCAAAACUUAUUAGGUGUGGGUAACAACAGUACAUCGACUAUUAUUUUGCGACGCUGAUGGUGAGAUGCUCAGACCUUCUUCGACUCUCUUCUUACGCUUUAUCCAAACAAUCCAGUCACUGUUCAAUAUGUAAUACUUUUAAAUUUCUCUACAAUA